CAUUAAACUAAAUACCGAAAAAAAGUAAGCAAGAACCAAAUAAAGAGCCAAUGACCUUACCCCAUACACUCGCUUUUACUCCCCUUGUCGAUAUUAGAAACACUACAAACAAAACCAACAUUUAACAAAUCAUGAAGAAAAGAUGGGCAAGAAUCUCAAUAAAUGCCAGAUAUAUAGGAUAAAGUGGCCUUAGCAAAAGUAUGAGUUGCUUUAUUAGCACUCCGACCAACGGAAGGAAAAACUCAGCCACAAACAAUCGCCCACCAAAAGACCAAAUUCCUUUAAGAGCCAUAGUGACGUCCUAACAGUCGGAUUCAUGAAUGACAAAAUCCUGUUGUAGUGAACGGAGCCAAGAAAUGGCCUCCCUCACCGCUAUUAUCUCAGUCAAUCAGGACUCCGACACACCCAUGUAAAAGCCCCAUAUCCCGUUGGGAAUACAGCCCCGUCGACAUUACACUUAACCCAACAACUCCAUCCUUUACUUGCUUUAGAAACAAACUUGGUGUUAUGUCUCCAGCAAGGCUACGAGAGUUAGCAGAAGUUACAAGGCUCCACAGAAGCCAAACAAGCUGGGUGAAUGUGACAAGGGUUAGCAGAAGCUAAACCAGUUGGGUGAAUGUUAGUGAUUGAUGAGUGGUUGUAAUCAAAUAGUUAGCUAAAGGGUAUAGUUAAGUUGUUAGUGUGUAUUAAAGAUUAGUUAGUGUAGUUAAGAAGUAUGGUGCUGUAUUUGAUUCAAGAAUCAGUUAGGUGUUAUUCUUCAUCUUUGUGUAUAAAUAUGACUCAUCCCCAUUGCUGAGGUUUUAGAGUCUCUUUAAGUUUUUGUUUGUUGCAUACUCGUUCGCGGGGAGAAAAGGGAGAGAAAGAAAAGGCGAGGAAAGGAAAAC
RNAcentral lists this long non-coding RNA (884 nucleotides) under Gossypium raimondii (Peruvian cotton). RNAcentral's name for it is "long non-coding RNA (GRAI_LNC009740)". The record is from RNAcentral. Lineage: Eukaryota; Viridiplantae; Streptophyta; Magnoliopsida; Malvales; Malvaceae.